This 434-nucleotide ribosomal RNA is filed under the name uncultured bacterium. Its description in RNAcentral is "partial 16S ribosomal RNA". It matches the Rfam family "Bacterial small subunit ribosomal RNA", at positions 355 to 783 of the family's 1533-position model. The record is from RNAcentral.
UAGGGAAUCUUCCACAAUGGACGCAAGUCUGAUGGAGCAACGCCGCGUGAGUGAAGAAGGUUUUCGGACCGUAAAGCUCUGUUGUUGGUGAAGAAGGAUAGAGGUAGUAACUGGCCUUUAUUUGAGGUAAUCAACCAGAAAGUCACGGCUAACUACGUGCCAGCAGCCGCGGUAAUACGUAGGUGGCAAGCGUUGUCCGGAUUUAUUGGGCGUAAAGCGAGCGCAGGCGGAAGAAUAAGUCUGAUGUGAAAGCCCUCGGCUUAACCGAGGAAUUGCAUCGGAAACUGUUUUCUUGAGUGCAGAAGAGGAGAGUAGAACUCCAUGUGUAGCGGUGGAAUGCGUAGAUAUAUGGAAGAAUACCAGUGGCGAAGGCGGCUCUCUGGUCUGCAACUGACGCUGAGGCUCGAAAGCAUGGGUAGCGAACAGGAUUAGAU